AAAAGCAGGAUAAUGCCAUCCACACAUACUGUAGAAUGAAAAAUCCUGAAGCAGGAAUUGGGGGGCUUCCUGUGGAAGUGACAGUGCAUUCUCAACAUGCCUCUUCAUGUCGAGUAUAGUUAUGUAUUCUCCACACAGGCUGAGAGUUGUGUGAACUGACCUUGAUGAGCUGCCCUCGCUCCACACUGAAUCAGUAAAAAACCCAAGAAAGUUGUAACGUGGCCAUAUCAGAUGAAGGUGUUCCAGUUUGCUUUAAUCCUGACUCCAGUAACCUGGAAACUGUCUACCCAGCUAUAUGCAAAAACUUGGAGGGAUCGUCCAUUGAGCCAAAUUUCAUCAUCUGCCAGGUGGGCACUGAAAAGGUGUGGGGCCUUUACUGUGGCAUGAUGUUCAUCUCCUCUGGAAGUUCAGCCUUCAGCAGCUGCGUGGGGACUUGUGCCUCAUCUGACAGUACUGUCUGCUAGGGCAAACCAUGCUACAUGGGCAGCAGCUUUGUGGCCUUCCCCCUUGGUUGAAAGCUAGGAGCCACCUUCGUGCUUUACAGCAUGGCUG
This is a long non-coding RNA of Pezoporus flaviventris, 552 nucleotides long. RefSeq lists it as uncharacterized. The transcript has 3 exons. The record is from RefSeq and is a predicted model, not a curated record. Lineage: Eukaryota; Metazoa; Chordata; Aves; Psittaciformes; Psittacidae.